AUACGGAGGGGGUUAGCGUUGUUCGGAAUUACUGGGCGUAAAGCGUACGUAGGCGGACUGAUCAGUUGGGGGUGAAAUCCCAGGGCUUAACCCUGGAACUGCCUUCAAUACUGUCAGUCUUGAGAUUGGAAGAGGUGAGUGGAAUUCCUAGUGUAGAGGUGAAAUUCAUAGAUAUUAGGAGGAACACCAGUGGCGAAGGCGGCUCACUGGUCCAAUACUGACGCUGAGGUACGAAAGCGUGGGGAGCAAACAGGAUUAGAAACCCUAGUAGUCC
RNAcentral lists this ribosomal RNA (274 nucleotides) under uncultured bacterium. RNAcentral's name for it is "partial 16S ribosomal RNA". It matches the Rfam family "Bacterial small subunit ribosomal RNA", at positions 523 to 796 of the family's 1533-position model. The record is from RNAcentral.